UACGUAGGGGGCGAGCGUUGUCCGGAAUCAUUGGGCGUAAAGCGCGUGUAGGCGGCCCGGUAAGUCCGCUGUGAAAGUCCAGGGCUCAACCCUGGGAUGCCGGUGGAUACUGUCGGGCUAGAGUCCGGAAGAGGAGUGUGGAAUUCCUGGUGUAGCGGUGAAAUGCGCAGAUAUCAGGAGGAACACCAAUGGCGAAGGCAGCACUCUGGGACGGUACUGACGCUGAGACGCGAAAGCGUGGGGAGCGAACAGG
RNAcentral lists this ribosomal RNA (253 nucleotides) under uncultured bacterium. Its description in RNAcentral is "partial 16S ribosomal RNA". It matches the Rfam family "Bacterial small subunit ribosomal RNA", at positions 524 to 776 of the family's 1533-position model. The record is from RNAcentral.